AGUGAACGCUGGCGGUAGGCCUAACACAUGCAAGUCGAACGGCAGCACAGUAAGAGCUUGCUCUUACGGGUGGCGAGUGGCGGACGGGUGAAGAAUACAUCGGAAUCUACUUUUUCGUGGGGGAUAACGUAGGGAAACUUACGCUAAUACCGCAUACGACCUACGGGUGAAAGCAGGGGAUCUUCGGACCUUGCGCGAUUGAAUGAGCCGAUGUCGGAUUAGCUAGUUGGCGGGGUAAAGGCCCACCAAGGCGACGAUCCGUAGCUGGUCUGAGAGGAUGAUCAGCCACACUGGAACUGAGACACGGUCCAGACGCCUACGGGAGGCAGCAGUGGGGAAUAUUGGACAAUGGGCGCAAGCCUGAUCCAGCCAUACCGCGUGGGUGAAGAAGGCCUUCGGGUUGUAAAGCCCUUUUGUUGGGAAAGAAAAGCAGCAGGUUAAUACCCCGCUGUUCUGACGGUACCCAAAGAAUAAGCACCGGCUAACUUCGUG
Molecule: ribosomal RNA, 492 nt
Filed under: uncultured bacterium
Lineage: Bacteria
Description: partial 16S ribosomal RNA
Rfam family: Bacterial small subunit ribosomal RNA
Source: RNAcentral